GACGUAGGAUGCGAGCGUUAUUCGGAUUUAUUGGGCGUAAAGCGUGCGUAGGCGGCUGUUUAAGUCUGGUGUUAAAGCUAGGGGCUCAACCCCUGUGGUGCAUCGGAUACUGGGCAGCUUGAGUGCGGUAGGGGAAGGUGGAAUUCCGAGUGUAGAGGUGAAAUUCGUAGAUAUCAAGCAGAACACCUGCGGCGAAGGCGGCCUUCUGGACGAUGACUGACGCUGAGACACGAAAGCGUGGGGAGCAAACAGG
This 253-nucleotide ribosomal RNA is filed under the name uncultured bacterium. RNAcentral describes it as "partial 16S ribosomal RNA". It matches the Rfam family "Bacterial small subunit ribosomal RNA", at positions 524 to 776 of the family's 1533-position model. The record is from RNAcentral.